Oncorhynchus nerka (sockeye salmon) is the source of this 2530-nucleotide long non-coding RNA. RefSeq lists it as uncharacterized. The transcript has 2 exons. Lineage: Eukaryota; Metazoa; Chordata; Actinopteri; Salmoniformes; Salmonidae. The record is from RefSeq and is a predicted model, not a curated record.
GCUAGGCAGAUAGGAGGACGACGAAAUACGAUAAUAACGCAAUUAUCACUCUAAGACUCCACACUCUAAACUACACAAUUAUCUUGGAUACGAAGACAGCAAAGACAACUAUGUAGCUAGCUAACACUACACUAAUCAAGUCGUUCAGUUGAGUGUGAUAGUUACUACAGUGCUACGGUAGACGGUGAACGUGUUGGGCAGAUAGGAGGACGACGAAAUACGAUAAUUACGCAAUUAUCUUUGAUACAACGACGGCUAUGUAGCUAGCUAAGAAGAAAUUGCUAAGAUUAGACAAAUCAGACCGUUGUACUAUAAUGAAAUGUAAUGUAAUGUAAUGAAAAAGUUAUACAACCUGCAGACCGAAGGAGACCGAAGCGCGGAUGCGACCGGCUCGCUCCAACCCAAGGAACUUUAUAUAUAUUGAGGUAAAUUGUAUGAAACAUGUUUAUUACCAGUUUGAAAGGGGGACUGGUGAGUCCAUAUACUAACUUAUUUUUUUAGUUAGUAAGCCAAAUGUUACUCCUGAACAAUUUUUCCUAAACAAAGGUAGUGAAUAGUUAUGCAGCAACUAUACUGAACAAAAAUACAAACACAACAUGUAAAGUGUUGGUCCAUGUUUCUUGAGCUGUAAUAAUAUAAUAAUAAUAAGGUCCCAGAAUUUUUUCCAUAAGCACAAAAACCUAAUUUAUUUACAUCCCUGUUAGUGAACAUUUCUCCUUUGUCAAGAUAAUCCUUUCACCUGACAGGUGUGCCCAGGCCUAGUCAUGUGAAAUCCAUAGAUUAGGGUUAGGGUUCAUUCAUUUCAAUUGACUGAUUUCCUUAUAUGAACUGUAACUCACUGCAAUCGUUGCUGUGGUUGCAUGUUGAGUUUAGAUUUUUGUUCAGUAUGUACUUUUGUUACUUAGGUUUGACUAAUUUGUACAAAUUUGUUGAAUUUUCUUUACUUUGACAUUAUGCAUAAUUUUGUGUGGAUCAAUGAAAAAUGUCUAAAUUAAAUUAAAUUUCCAUCCCACUUUGUAACACAACAAAAAAAUCCAAGGGGGGUGAAUACUUACGAUACCCACUGAAAGGAUUACUUUUCUGAUAUGAUUUGCAUGAUGGGACAAGGGAAUUAGUACCACACCCACACUCUCCCACUAUUUUCCACCAUAAUUUGCAAAUAAAUUCAUUAAAAAUCCUACAUUGUGAUUUUCUGGAUUUUUUUUCUAAUUUUGUCUGUCAUAGUUGAAGUGUACCUAUGAUGAAAAUUACAGGCCUCUCUCAUCUUUUAAGUGGGAGAACUUGCACAAUUGGUGGCUGACUAAAUACUUUUUUGCCCCACUGUACAUCCCACUUUUCAUGUGUUAAGAAUUAAACCCGUGUCUCACUGCCUUUUGUCUCCUCAACCUUACCUUGGAUCACUCAUUGCAAUGGCCAUCCGUCUGGAUAACCUACAUCGGGAGCGCUGGUGCUCUCAUCGCGUUUCUCCCUCCCUCGGUGAGCACACGGAAUCAGAGCCUGCACCCAUGGAGGGAGGGGUCAAACGCCUCCCUGCGGCGGAGCGCUGCAGACGGAUACAGCUGGGACUCUGUCUGUACUGUGGACAAAGAGGACACCAGCUCCAGAAGUGUCCUGCAUGUCCGAAUCUGGGAUCCACAAGAGCAGAGGGACAGUCACAUGAUCUGCCACUCCCUGGGACAGGACCCUUGAUAGUCAGCCCUUAGGAUCCGGAACCAUCACCCACAUCACUCAACCACUCACCCUCACCGUGGAGUCCACUCAUCAGGAGAACAUCCCCUUCUUCAUUACCAGUCAGCCAGGAGCUGCCAGAGCCGCCAGCCAGCCAGGAGCUGCCAGAGCCGUCAGUCAGCCAGGCGAUGCCAGAAUCGCCCUUCACUCCGGAGCUGCCGGAGUCUCCCGCCUGUCCGGCGCUGCUGGAGUCUCCCGCCUGUCCGGCGCUGCCGGAGUCUCCCGCCUGUCCAGCGCUGCCGGAAUCUCCCGUCCAUUUGGGAUCCAUGGCUAGGCUCCCCAGUCGGAGGUCGGCGGCGAGGGUCGCAGCUCAUAAGAGGCCACGGGGGCGGUUGAGGAGGCGGACAAAAACUGUGGUGAAGCGGGGUCCACGUUCCGCGUCAGAGCCGCCACCGCGGACAGACGCCCACCCAGACCCUCCCCUAUAGAUUUAGGUUUUGCGGCCGGAGUCAGCACCUUUGGGGGGGGGGGAGGGGGUACUGUCACGUUCUGACCUUUUAUUUCCUUUGUUUUGUCUUUAUUUAGUAUGGUCAGGGCGUGAGUUGGGGUGGGCAGUCUAUGUUUGUUUUUCUAUGUUUGGUUUCUGUUUCGGCCUGGUAUGGUUCUCAAUCAGAGGCAGGUGUCGUUAGUUGUCUCUGAUUGAGAAUCAUACUUAGGUAGCCUGGGUUUCACUGUUGGUUUGUGGGUGUUUGUUUCCUUGUCAGUGUUUGUCGCCACACGGUACUGUUUCGGUUUCGUUUCUUCAUGUUUCUUUUGUUAUUUUUGUAUUCAAUGCUUUCUUUGAUUAAAGUUAUGGACACUU